CCUACGGGAGGCAGCAGUGGGGAAUCUUGCGCAAUGGGCGAAAGCCUGACGCAGCCAUGCCGCGUGAAUGAUGAAGGUCUUAGGAUUGUAAAAUUCUUUCACCGAGGACGAUAAUGACGGUACUCGGAGAAGAAGCCCCGGCUAACUUCGUGCCAGCAGCCGCGGUAAUACGAAGGGGGCUAGCGUUGCUCGGAAUUACUGGGCGUAAAGGGAGCGUAGGCGGAUAGUUUAGUCAGAGGUGAAAGCCCAGGGCUCAACCUUGGAAUUGCCUUUGAUACUGGCUAUCUUGAGUACGGAAGAGGUAUGUGGAACUCCGAGUGUAGAGGUGAAAUUCGUAGAUAUUCGGAAGAACACCAGUGGCGAAGGCGACAUACUGGUCCGUUACUGACGCUGAGGCUCGAAAGCGUGGGGAGCAAACAGGAUUAGAUACCCUGGUAGUCCACGCUGUAACGAUGAGUGCUAGUUGUCGGUCGAUGCAUGCAUGUUCGGGUUGGUACGGCGAGCGUAACCGACAUUAAAGUACACCUCCCGCCCGUUCGGGGGUAGGGGUUACCGGGGUUACCGGCCGAACGAAGUUAAAAACCGUUAACCAAACUAGUAAGUUAGUACGGGCGUGAGACGUCGCCCGAACGGACCGACCGACCGAAGGGGAAGGUUAGGG
This 661-nucleotide ribosomal RNA is filed under the name uncultured bacterium. RNAcentral's name for it is "bacterial SSU rRNA". The stretch from base 1 to 529 matches the Rfam family "Bacterial small subunit ribosomal RNA", at positions 338 to 873 of the family's 1533-position model. The record is from RNAcentral.